GACGGCCCUAUGGGUUGUAAACUGCUUUUAUACGGGAAGAAACACUCCUUCGUGAAGGAGCUUGACGGUACCGUAAGAAUAAGGAUCGGCUAACUCCGUGCCAGCAGCCGCGGUAAUACGGAGGAUCCAAGCGUUAUCCGGAAUCAUUGGGUUUAAAGGGUCCGUAGGCGGGACAAUAAGUCAGCGGUGAAAGUCUGUGGCUCAACCAUAGAAUUGCCAUUGAUACUGUUGUUCUUGAGUGUUUAUGAAGUGGUUAGAAUAUGUAGUGUAGCGGUGAAAUGCUUAGAUAUUACAUGGAAUACCGAUUGCGAAGGCAGAUCACUAAUAAAAUACUGACGCUGAUGGACGAAAGCGUAGGUAGCGAACAGGAUUAGAUACCCUGGUAG
RNAcentral lists this ribosomal RNA (386 nucleotides) under uncultured Gillisia sp. RNAcentral's name for it is "bacterial SSU rRNA". It matches the Rfam family "Bacterial small subunit ribosomal RNA", at positions 410 to 793 of the family's 1533-position model. The record is from RNAcentral. Lineage: Bacteria; Pseudomonadati; Bacteroidota; Flavobacteriia; Flavobacteriales; Flavobacteriaceae.